UUUUUUUUUUUUUUUUUGGCUGUGCCCACAUGCAGAAGUUCCUGGGUCAGGGACUGAACCCUCGCCAAAACUGUAAGCAGACCCAUAGCAGUGACAACACCAGGUCCUUUACCUGCUGAGCCACGAGGGAACUCCCAAAGAAAACCUUUUGGGGGGUUGCCCUUGCAGCAUAUGAAAUUUCCCAGGCCAGGGAUCAAAUCCAAGCCACAGCUGUGGCAACACCAGAUCCUUAACCCACCACACCACAGCAGGAACUCCCCACAGAAAAUAUUUUUUAAAUUGUGUCUGUCCAUGCUGGAUUUGGGCUUCCUGGCUCUUAAUCUUUUCGUUGGCACAAUCUGUGGUUGAGAUUGGUCCCUGGAAACCAAUUUUUUUUAACCUUGUUAUUUUAUAUAUGAGGCAUCUGAUGCCUCAAGAGGUCAAGUUACUUCUUUGGGAAAUCAUGCUAGUCGGUUUUCACAAUAUUAUACAACGUUAUAAAUCUAUAAAUUGGAUUUUGUGCAAAGGCACAAAGUCCUGCCGUGAACUUGAGCUUCUCUGUCUCUAAUGACCAGAACAUUUAAAUUAUCAGAAAACAACGCUCCCUCCCUAUGGUGGCUUGUAGAGGAUUUAUAGCCUGUGGAUCCAUCAAAUCUUAGACACCAAUUGAUUAUAAGACCCACAUAUUGAUUGUCUUGUUACUGCUAAGAAAAGAACACACUGCAAACACAGGGUUUUCUUACUACCCAGAAGUUUCAGAUUUUACUUACGAUGUGAGUUCUUUUAGAGAUACUUAUGCGUUUUUAAAACGUCUUUGUCUUUGUUUAUACCUUAAAAGGAAAAUACAAGCAAGGUAAUUUGGUUAUGGAACUUCCAAAAAUUUUUCCCAUUCAGGAAAUCUGCUUUUAUGUUACUUUGAAACUCGUUCGCUGAUGGGCAGCCUUAUCCAUGGCACUGCCAUCUGUGCCAUCAAAAGUAUUGAUGGGAGUUCCCAUUGUGGCUCAGCGGUGACAAACCUGACAAUAUCCAUGAGGAUGCAGGUUCCGUCCCUGGUCUCGCUCAGUGGCUUAAGGAUCCAGCCGUGGCCGUGAGCUGUGGUGUAGGUUGGAGAUGCGGCUCAGAUCUGGCGUGGCUGUGGCUGUGGUGUAGGCCAGCAGCUGCAGCUCCAGUUUGACCCCUAGCCUGGGAACCUCCAUAUCCCACAGGUGCAGCCCUAAAAAGACCCCCCCCAAAGUAUUGAUGCAACAGCUUUUCUCUAAACAAAAGAAAAGGAGACCUCUGUUAUUGUCUCAUAUGGUCUUUCGAACCACGGCUCACCUUUCUGUGAGGUUGUGUUUGCUUGCUUUUUUG
Molecule: long non-coding RNA, 1329 nt
Filed under: Sus scrofa (pig)
Lineage: Eukaryota; Metazoa; Chordata; Mammalia; Artiodactyla; Suidae
Description: lncRNA (ENSSSCG00040017782.1)
Source: RNAcentral